Molecule: ribosomal RNA, 253 nt
Filed under: uncultured bacterium
Lineage: Bacteria
Also listed under: 1 other name
Description: partial 16S ribosomal RNA
Rfam family: Bacterial small subunit ribosomal RNA
Source: RNAcentral
UACGAACUGUGCGAACGUUAUUCGGAAUCACUGGGCUUACAGGGUGCGUAGGCGGCUUUUCAAGUCAGGUGUGAAAGCCCCCGGCUCAACCGGGGAAUUGCGCUUGAAACUGGAGAGCUCGAGUCAGCUAGAGGUGCACGGAACUUCCAGUGGAGCGGUGAAAUGUGUUGAUAUUGGAAGGAACACCGGAGGCGAAAGCGGUGCACUGGGGCUGGUCUGACGCUGAGGCACGAAAGCCAGGGUAGCGAACGGG